GACGAACGCUGGCGGCGUGCUUAACACAUGCAAGUCGAACGGAAAGGCCCUGCUUUUGUGGGGUGCUCGAGUGGCGAACGGGUGAGUAACACGUGAGUAACCUGCCCUUGACUUUGGGAUAACUUCAGGAAACUGGGGCUAAUACCGGAUAGGAGCCCCUGCUGCAUGGUGGGGGUUGGAACGUUUCGGCGGUUGGGGUUGGACGCGCGGCUUAUCAGUUUGUUGGUGGGGGAGUGGCUUACCCAGGCAUUGACUGGUAGCCGGCAUGGGAGGGUGAACGGCACCAUUGGGACUGAGAUACGGCCCAGUCGGCAACGGGAGGCAACAGUGGGGAAUAUUGCACAGUGAGCGGGAGCCGGAUGAGGCAGCGCCGCGUGCGGGAAGACGGCUUUCGGGUAGUAAACCGCUGUCGCCUGUGACGAAGCGUGAGUGACGGUAACGGGUAAAGAAGCACCGGCUAACUACGUG
RNAcentral lists this ribosomal RNA (468 nucleotides) under uncultured bacterium. Its description in RNAcentral is "partial 16S ribosomal RNA". It matches the Rfam family "Bacterial small subunit ribosomal RNA", at positions 28 to 507 of the family's 1533-position model. The record is from RNAcentral.